UGUUCAGUCCAAUCCCCACUCUAUACUAUAAUUCUAAAAAUAGAAAAAAAAGGAAUACGAAAGAGAGAUAGGCGCCUUU
RNAcentral lists this transfer RNA (79 nucleotides) under Inga ruiziana. RNAcentral describes it as "tRNA-Glu". Lineage: Eukaryota; Viridiplantae; Streptophyta; Magnoliopsida; Fabales; Fabaceae. The record is from RNAcentral.